RNAcentral lists this ribosomal RNA (455 nucleotides) under uncultured Streptococcus sp. RNAcentral describes it as "bacterial SSU rRNA". It matches the Rfam family "Bacterial small subunit ribosomal RNA", at positions 927 to 1382 of the family's 1533-position model. Lineage: Bacteria; Bacillati; Bacillota; Bacilli; Lactobacillales; Streptococcaceae. The record is from RNAcentral.
AAGCGGUGGAGCAUUGUGGUUUAAUUCGAAGCAACGCGAAGAACCUUACCAGGUCUUGACAUCCCGAUGCUAUUUCUAGAGAUAGAAAGUUACUUCGGUACAUCGGUGACAGGUGGUGCAUGGUUGUCGUCAGCUCGUGUCGUGAGAUGUUGGGUUAAGUCCCGCAACGAGCGCAACCCCUAUUGUUAGUUGCCAUCAUUCAGUUGGGCACUCUAGCGAGACUGCCGGUAAUAAACCGGAGGAAGGUGGGGAUGACGUCAAAUCAUCAUGCCCCUUAUGACCUGGGCUACACACGUGCUACAAUGGUUGGUACAACGAGUUGCGAGUCGGUGACGGCGAGCUAAUCUCUUAAAGCCAAUCUCAGUUCGGAUUGUAGGCUGCAACUCGCCUACAUGAAGUCGGAAUCGCUAGUAAUCGCGGAUCAGCACGCCGCGGUGAAUACGUUCCCGGGCCUU